This 497-nucleotide ribosomal RNA is filed under the name uncultured bacterium. RNAcentral's name for it is "partial 16S ribosomal RNA". It matches the Rfam family "Bacterial small subunit ribosomal RNA", at positions 28 to 507 of the family's 1533-position model. The record is from RNAcentral.
GACGAACGCUGGCGGCGUGCCUAAUACAUGCAAGUAGAACGCUGAAGAGAGGAGCUUGCUCUUCUUGGAUGAGUUGCGAACGGGUGAGUAACGCGUAGGUAACCUGCCUUGUAGCGGGGGAUAACUAUUGGAAACGAUAGCUAAUACCGCAUAACAAUGGAUGACACAUGUCAUUUAUUUGAAAGGGGCAAUUGCUCCACUACAAGAUGGACCUGCGUUGUAUUAGCUAGUAGGUGAGGUAAUGGCUCACCUAGGCGACGAUACAUAGCCGACCUGAGAGGGUGGUCGGCCACACUGGGACUGAGACACGGCCCAGACUCCUACGGGAGGCAGCAGUAGGGAAUCUUUGGCAAUGGGGGCAAACCUGACCGAGCAACGCCGCGUGAGUGAAGAAGGUGUUCGGAUCGUAAAGCUCUGUUGUAAGUCAAGAACGGGUGUGAGAGUGGAAAGUUCACACUGUGACGGUAGCUAAACAGAAAGGGACGGCUAACUACGUG